GACGAACGCUGGCGGCGUGCUUAACACAUGCAAGUCGAACGGAAAGGCCCUGCUUGCAGGGUGCUCGAGUGGCGAACGGGUGAGUAACACGUGGGUGAUCUGCCCCUUACUUUGGGAUAAGCCUGGGAAACUGGGUCUAAUACUGGAUAGGACCAUGCUGUAGGUGGUGUGGUGGAAAGAUUAGUUUCGGUAAGGGAUGAGCUCGCGGCCUAUCAGCUUGUUGGUGGGGUAAUGGCCUACCAAGGCGUCGACGGGUAGCCGGCCUGAGAGGGUGGACGGCCACAUUGGGACUGAGAUACGGACCAGACUCCUACGGGAGGCAGCAGUGGGGAAUAGUGCACAAUGGGCGCAAGCCGGAUGCAGCGACGACGUGGGGGGGAUGACGGCCUUCGGGUUGUAAACUCCUUCCAGCCAUGACGAAGCCCUUGUGGUGACGGUAGUGGUAGAAGAAGCACCGGCUAACUACGUG
RNAcentral lists this ribosomal RNA (469 nucleotides) under uncultured bacterium. Its description in RNAcentral is "partial 16S ribosomal RNA". It matches the Rfam family "Bacterial small subunit ribosomal RNA", at positions 28 to 507 of the family's 1533-position model. The record is from RNAcentral.